This 512-nucleotide ribosomal RNA is filed under the name uncultured bacterium. RNAcentral describes it as "bacterial SSU rRNA". It matches the Rfam family "Bacterial small subunit ribosomal RNA", at positions 8 to 553 of the family's 1533-position model. The record is from RNAcentral.
AGAGUUUGAUCAUGGCUCAGAUUGAACGCUGGCGGUAUGCUUAACACAUGCAAGUCGAACGCGAACGACCCUUCGGGGUUUAUUAGAGUGGCGGACGGGUUAGUAACGCGUAGGAAUCUGCCCAGUAGUGGGGGACAACAUGUGGAAACGCAUGCUAAUACCGCAUACGCCCUACGGGGGAAAGACUUCGGUCGCUAUUGGAUGAGCCUGCGUAAGAUUAGCUAGUUGGUAGGGUAAUGGCCUACCAAGGCGACGAUCUUUAGCUGGACUGAGAGGUCGAACAGCAACACUGGGACUGAGACACGGCCCAGACUCCUACGGGAGGCAGCAGUGGGGAAUAUUGGACAAUGGGCGAAAGCCUGAUCCAGCAAUACCGCGUGCGUGAAGAAGGCCCGAGGGUUGUAAAGCACUUUCAGAUGGGAAGAUAAUGACGUUACCAUCAGAAGAAGCACCGGCUAACUCUGUGCCAGCAGCCGCGGUAAUACAGAGGGUGCAAGCGUUAAUCGGAAUUA